UGUGAAGUCGUGAUUCUCAAACAGCACAUCCAUAAGUGAAAAAGCGUUUUCUACUCUUUAUACUCCAUGGACAGAUGGCGUUCGGUUAUUGGAUAAAAUAAUGUCACUAGAGUUGUGGUUUUUCUCUUCUCAUUUAUGGACCAUUGAUCCACAUCUAUGGUUGAGAUUUAGUCUCAUAUAAUUAAUGCAAAGGGAGACUUUAAGGGUUGGUGAGAAGAAGCCAGCCGGCACUUUCUUUUCAUUUGGCAGAAAUUGUCCCUUCAAGUUUCUCUCUCUCUCUCUCUCGAGUUCCUUCAUGUUUCUGCUUCUUCUUUUCUCUUUUGAAUUGAAGAACUAGUGAAGAUUAUUGUUAUAAUCUUGUUGUUAUCAGAUGAUGAUAGAACUAUGGUACAGAGUUUUAGGCCUUGAUUGUGGCUGGUAAAUCCGUAGUGUGUUCUUGGGAAGGUUUUGUCUAGUCUUGUGGGCUAGGUUUUCAAGUUAUUGAGAGAUCCUUGUGGAUCGAUGAUCAUAGAGUGGGUAUGAUGUGGUUUCUUCAACUGGUUGUACACUCUCUUGAAGGUUUCUUGCUAGCGACGGGCUUACCUCUGAGUCCCCCAGAUUAGGCCAUUUCUGGCUAAAUUGGGUGAAAAUUUCUGUGUUCGAUUUUCUGUUCUUGCUUUACUUUUUACUGUUUUACGAUUGUUUGUUGGUGUUGGUCGAUAAUCCUAAUAAAUCUGGUAUCAGAGCUCGGUUUUCGAGGCAUCUGCGUGACAUACCUUGCCCUGAGAAUAUUUCAGUGGGUUGAGAAAAAGGUUAAACGGUUGAACAUAUUUUUUUUCGGAUCAGCAGAUUUUUUUCGGAUAUUUCUUGAGAUUUUAAUUUCUGUCCAGAUCUUAAAGAUCUGCACAGACAUUUAGGAGACUAAUUUUUCUGUUUAAGUGCGAAGGUUAAGAACGAAAAUUGGUCAGCUCCUGACCAGCUCCAAUUUUGGCAGGUGAUAGGGUGAUCUCUGAAACUCUUGUGAUUGCACUGUUGUUCAACGGUGCUGUGGGUGAGAUAUAAAUAAUAAAAGAGCUCGUAUAAUUUUGGUGCACAAAAUUGCAUGUUUAUUGUUCUAUGGAUUAAUUACUAAAAUUGUACAUUGUGCAUUGAUAAUUGAUCUGACAAUAGGAGCAUGUUUUAGGAAUUAUACAAAGUUCUUUAUAUUUGUUGAGUAAUUCCUUGAAUUCCAACACAUUGAUUGCUUGUGUACAUUGUUUUCAGUUGUGCAAGUUAGGAUAAUUGUUUUUCAUUCUGUAAUCUGCAUUCCUUAAAUCAGUUAGGAAGUUUCUUGGUUUUGUUUUUGUAAUCAUAUAUUGAGGUGUCUGUUAUGGCUUCCAGUAGUAGCCACCCCUUUUCAGAACCUAUGAUGGGUUCGAAAGUCGAACUAUCACAAUUCUAUGGAAAGGGAGAUUACUCGAUUUGGAAGCAGAAAAUGAGAGCCAUAUUGGUCCAACAGAGGGUUGCUAAAGCCCUGGACGACCCUAACAAAUAUUCUGAUGAACUUAAAGCCAAACCAGAUGAGAUUCUUGAAAUGAAUGAAAUAGCUUAUAGUUCGAUUAUCCUGCACUUAUCUGAUAAUAUUGUAAGACAAGUAGAAGAAUCCAAAACUGCUAGAGAUCUUUGGACAGCCUUAGAUAACUUGUUCUUAACCAAGACUUUACCAAAUAAAAUUUAUCUCCUGGAAAAACUGUUUAGUUUUAAAAUGGAUGAUCGGAAAGACCUGGAAACCAAUUUGAGUGAUUUUAGCAUACUGGUGAA
RNAcentral lists this long non-coding RNA (1779 nucleotides) under Olea europaea subsp. europaea. Lineage: Eukaryota; Viridiplantae; Streptophyta; Magnoliopsida; Lamiales; Oleaceae. The record is from RNAcentral.